GCCUGAUCCAGCCAUGCCGCGUGAGUGAUGAAGGCCUUAGGGUUGUAAAGCUCUUUCAGUAGGGAAGAUAAUGACGGUACCUACAGAAGAAGCCCCGGCUAACUUCGUGCCAGCAGCCGCGGUAA
Molecule: ribosomal RNA, 125 nt
Filed under: uncultured bacterium
Lineage: Bacteria
Description: partial 16S ribosomal RNA
Rfam family: Bacterial small subunit ribosomal RNA
Source: RNAcentral